This 353-nucleotide ribosomal RNA is filed under the name uncultured bacterium. Its description in RNAcentral is "partial 16S ribosomal RNA". It matches the Rfam family "Bacterial small subunit ribosomal RNA", at positions 338 to 708 of the family's 1533-position model. The record is from RNAcentral.
CCUACGGGAGGCAGCAGUAGGGAAUAUUGCUCAAUGGGGGAAACCCUGAAGCAGCAACGCCGCGUGAGGGAUGAAGGUUUUCGGAUUGUAAACUCCUUUUGUUAGAGAAGAUAAUGACGGUAUCUAGCGAAUAAGCACCGGCUAACUCCGUUCCAGCAGCCGCGGUAAUAGGGAGGGUGCAAGCGUUACUCGGAAUCACUGGUCGUAAAGAGCGCGUAGGCGGGAUAGCAAGUCAGAUGUGAAAUGCUAUGGCUUAACCAUAGAACUGAAUUUGAAACUGUUAUUCUAGAGUAUGGGAGAGGUAGGUGGAAGUCCGGGUGUAGGGGUAAAAGCCGUAGAGAUAAAGAGGAAUA